GCUUCCUGAUCGCCGGUUGCAGCUGAUUGGUCGGUUUUGGGCUGAUUGGAGAGCCCCUACGCCAGCUCGUCAGUGAUUACAGCUGGUUUAGCCUGCAUAUAAGCCACAGUUCUAGUGUCUCAGAAGAGAGACACACAUGCUGUUGCUUUUGAUCUGUGGUGCGAUCUGUAAGGUGUUAUGGGUAAAGACUGCAACAGAGUGACUUACACUAAGAGGAGAAUCUGUGUCUUGAAGGGGUCAUCAGUGGACAUAUCCUGUACUUAUGUUGGUUAUAAUGGUUAUGCUGGUCGUUAUCCUGUCAUAUCAUCACUGUGGUUUAGAAGUGAUAAGAUGACUCCCAGAGACGUAACAAAAGACCCAGAGUACACAGGUCGAGUCCUGAACACACUUCCCUCCACCCUGAGAAUCACAGAUCUGAGAGAGAAGGACUCAGCUGAGUAUCGCUUCACUUUUAAAACAUCCAACUUUGAAUGGGGUCAUAGUUUCCCUGGAACAACUCUGACUGUCACAGAUGUACAGGUGAAGAUGACUCCUGCUACAGUGACUGAGGGACAGAAUGUAACACUGACCUGUAUCACAUCCUGUCCUCUGACUGACAACCCCACCUACAUCUGG
Long non-coding RNA from Esox lucius (northern pike), 615 nucleotides. RefSeq lists it as uncharacterized. NCBI's taxonomy places the organism in Eukaryota, Metazoa, Chordata, Actinopteri, Esociformes, Esocidae. The transcript has 3 exons. The record is from RefSeq and is a predicted model, not a curated record.